RNAcentral lists this long non-coding RNA (748 nucleotides) under Homo sapiens (human). RNAcentral's name for it is "non-protein coding lnc-CDC42-2:1". The record is from RNAcentral. Lineage: Eukaryota; Metazoa; Chordata; Mammalia; Primates; Hominidae.
GAAUGGGGUAGAUAGCAGCUGUCUUCAUCACUGUCAUCAUUGUUGGCUCACAUCAAAUCAGGACCAGAAAACCCUGUUGACUUCUGGGUCUUAAACUGCUGUAUCAGUGAGGGGCUUCCUCCUCAUACUCAUUGCCAGGAGUAGAGUAAGGCUUUUAAUUUCAUCUCUAACCAACUCUGAUAGGGCUGGAAAUGUGUAUGGAGUUCCAGACCCACCAUGGGGCCCCAGUGCUAGCUUCUUAGCCCUCCUUUGUAAGGUUUGCACUAGUUUGAUGGGAGAGGGAUUUUUUUUGUCUUGAUUCUGAAGCUCUUAAAGAAAUGCUCCUUUUUCUCCAUAACUUGAGGAUUUCACAAUUGUAUUGGAAUUAUUGGUGUUAAGGAGUUAGGUCCAUCUCUUGGCAGCUUGUGAAGGGUGGGCAGGCACCUGUGAAUUCUUCACUGGCUUCUUGUAAGAAUGACUUUACUGGAGGGUGCUGAGUUUGUGAUUAUCUCCUCUGCUGCUAGAAAACUCCGUGAACCCUGGUACAUAUAGCGUGAUAAAUCAAGUCCUGUUUUUGCUCCUAACUUGCAUUAUGGUGUUUGAUACUAUAUCUUCAUUUCUCCCAUGGUAGUAAUAACACUGUUGGAAAGAGCUCUCAGUUGGAAGUUGAAGAUCCAGGUUCUAGUUGAGGCACCAGAGUUUCCUUGGGCAAGUUGCCAUACCUUUUUGGGCCUUGGUUUCCUCAUCUCAAUAAAAUGAGUUUCUGUUC